UUCCAGCAAGGUCUCCCUCCUCUCGCCAUCUCGUCUCUCCACUUCUCCAGGUACUCUUCUUUAUGUCUUUACUUGCUUUAAUUUAUGGAUAUCUAUACUAAUAAUUGAAUGAUCCAAGCUCUCAUUCGAUAUGUCCAAUAGGUAACAAUUAUAAAUCUGUACAUAAAUAAAAAAGGGCUAGCUACCUCUUUCAUCAGAACCUAGUACUUUGAAACAAAUUUAAGAAGAGCCAGAGUUCUGUUGGCUGACCAUAUAAUUAGGUCUUCUUCGUAUUGAAGACCAGACCUACCUCUCUUUCUCAAAAAUCUUGAAUUUAGUCAAACAACAACUUUGUUUCAUCAACAUGUCUAUGGUGGAGGUAAGAGUUCCAAACUUGGAUUGUGAAGGGUUUCCGUGGCUUCAGAUGAAGCUGUUGCUUCUCUUUUCAGUGAUGACAACCCACAUACAUGCACUAUCAUGUGAAAGAUUAAUCUUCAUGCCUUUCAGAUUUAAUUUGGAGCUACAUCUCCUAAAUUUUUGUAUACUUUUUUCGGAGAAGACCAGCGCUAGUGCUUAAAAAAAAAAGAUAUGUCCAAUAGCCAUUUCAGCUCCUUGUGUUUAUGAUUGUGUUCCAUCUGUCUUUAAUAACCAAUGUCUUUAUUCGCAUUCGUUUUCUUUUGUUGUUGCAGUGAUUCAUACAUGGCUGAAAAUAUACAAAGUGAUAAGGUGAUCAUGGGUGAAAGUGGGGCGUCUAAUUCAAAUGCAACAAGUGAAGCUCAAUCAAAUAUAUCCAAAAAAAAAAGAAAAAGGUCUGUUGUGUGGGAUCAUUUUACAGAAUUUAUUACUUCGGAAGGGAAUGCAAA
RNAcentral lists this long non-coding RNA (842 nucleotides) under Nicotiana benthamiana. RNAcentral describes it as "long non-coding RNA (NBEN_LNC027497)". Lineage: Eukaryota; Viridiplantae; Streptophyta; Magnoliopsida; Solanales; Solanaceae. The record is from RNAcentral.